RNAcentral lists this ribosomal RNA (411 nucleotides) under Salmonella enterica subsp. enterica serovar Enteritidis. Its description in RNAcentral is "partial 23S ribosomal RNA". It matches the Rfam family "Bacterial large subunit ribosomal RNA", at positions 2000 to 2410 of the family's 2925-position model. The record is from RNAcentral. Lineage: Bacteria; Pseudomonadati; Pseudomonadota; Gammaproteobacteria; Enterobacterales; Enterobacteriaceae.
CGUAAUGAUUUGAGCGCUGUCUCAACAAUGCACCCGGUGAAAUUGAAAUACCAGUGAAGAUGCUGGUUACCUGCGCCAGGACGGAAAGACCCCAUGGAGCUUUACUCCAGCUUGAUACUGGGAUUCGGUAUUGCAUGUACAGGAUAGGUGGGAGGCCGUGAAGAGAGGACGCCAGUCUUCUUGGAGCCACUGUUGGGAUACCACCCUUGUGAUACUGGAUUUCUAACCAGCCACCGUGAUCCGGUGGUGGGACAAUGUCAGGUGGGGAGUUUGACUGGGGCGGUCGCCUCCGAAAGGGUAUCGGAGGCGCUCAAAGGUUCCCUCAGAAUGGUUGGAAACCAUUCAAAGAGUGCAAAGGCAUAAGGGAGCUUGACUGCGAGACCGACGGGUCGAGCAGGUACGAAAGUAGGA